UUGCGCCAGUAGCGGCGAGCGAACGCGCACCAGCCCAAGCCGGGUCGUUCACGCCCCGGGGUUGCGGGAACGCGGCACGGCACGUGGGAGGUUAGGCGAACGGUUUGGAAAGGCCGGCGGAACAGGGUGAAAGCCCCGUAGCCGAAAGCCAGACACGGCCCAGCGGUAUCCCAAGUAAGGCGGGACACGUGAAACCCUGCCUGAAUCCGGGGGGCCCACCCUCCAAGGCUAAAUACUCCGUGAUGACCGAUAGUGGACAAGUACCGCGAGGGAAAGGUGAAAAGAACCCUUUUUAAGGGAGUGAAACAGACCUGAAAUCGUGCGCCCACAAGCUAUGGCGGCCUGCUUCGGCAGGUUGCCGUUUGCCUUUUGCAUAAUGAGUCCGCGAGUCACCCUGCGCGGCAAGGUUAACCGAAAGGGGAGCCGUAGCGAAAGCGAGUCCGAAACGGGCGUCAAGUCGCGCGGGGUGGACCCGAAGCCCGAGUGAGCUACCCAUGGGCAGGCUGAAGCCUCCGUAACAGGAGGUGGAGGGCCGAACCGGUGUCCGUUGAAAAGGGCUCGGAUGACCUGUGGGUUGGAGCGAAAGACUUAUCAAACCGGGUGAUAGCUGGUUCUCCUCGAAAUGCCUUUAGGGGCAGCCUCCUGUAACGCAACGCGCGGGGGUAGAGCACUGAUUGGUCUAGGGCCCCUGCCGGGGUACCGAAGCCUGUCAAACUCCGAAUACCGCGCGCGACAGCAGGGGAGUGAGACUGUGGGGGCUAAGCUUCACAGUCGAAAGGGAAACAGCCCAGACCGCCGAAUAAGGCCCCAAAACGACGCUAAGUCACUAAGGAUGUGGGGUUUCGAAGACAGCCAGGAUGUUGGCUUAGAGGCAGCCACCAUUUAAACAGUGCGUAACAGCUGACUGGUCGAGAGAUCCCGCGCCGAAAAUGAUCGGGAGUCAAGCGCCGUGCCGAAUUCGCGGAUCGAGAGAUGGUAGGGGAGCGUCGCCUGACGGGACGAAGCCGCGAGCGCAAGCCGCGGUGGACUUCAGGCGAGUGAUUAUGCGGACAUGAGUAACGAAAACCAGGGUGGGAAUCCCUGGCGCCGGAAUCCCAAGGUUUCCCGGGGCAGGUUCGUCCGCCCGGGGUUAGCCGGCACCUAAGCCGAGGCCGAAAGGCGCAGGCGAUGGACGGAAGGUGAACAUUCCUUCGCUUCCGGCAAGAGUUUGACCGACGGGGAGCGCGGAAAGCUAAGCGGGAGGGCUGAUGGACGCCCUUUUGAGUGCGUAGGGCGGGCCGCAGGUAAAUCCGCGGCCCGGACGCCUGAAACACGGUCGAGCGGCCCGGCGACGGGACGCGAGCCGCCUAUGCUCAGCCGCCGAGAAAAACCCCUAGGGAUCGAGCCGGGAACCGUACCUAAACCGACACAGGUGGGAGGGUACCAGUAUACCAAGGCGCGCGAGAGAAACCUCGUUAAGGAACUCGGCAAUCUAGCCCCGUAACUUCGGGAGAAGGGGUCCCCCGCGAGGGGGCGCAGUGAACGGGCCCAUGCGACUGUUUAACAAAAACACAGCACCCUGCAAACGCGCGAGCGGACGUAUAGGGUGUGACACGUGACCAAUGCGGAAAGGUCAAGGCGAGGGGUCAGCCGCGAGGCGAAGCUCCGAACCGAAGCCCCCGUGAAUGUCGGCCGUAACUAUAACGGUCCUAAGGUAGCGAAAUUCCUUGUC
Molecule: ribosomal RNA, 1711 nt
Filed under: anaerobic digester metagenome
Description: bacterial LSU rRNA
Rfam family: Bacterial large subunit ribosomal RNA
Source: RNAcentral